This 262-nucleotide small nuclear RNA is filed under the name Octodon degus (degu). RNAcentral's name for it is "7SK RNA (ENSODEG00000022334.1)". It matches the Rfam family "7SK RNA". Rfam says of the family: 7SK was discovered as an abundant small nuclear RNA in the mid-70s but a possible function has only recently been suggested. Two independent studies have found that 7SK RNA binds the CDK9/cyclin T complex (known as elongation factor P-TEFb). P-TEFb activates transcription by phosphorylating the C-terminal domain of RNA polymerase II. Lineage: Eukaryota; Metazoa; Chordata; Mammalia; Rodentia; Octodontidae. The record is from RNAcentral.
AGGCCUAGCUGUGGUAACAGUCAGCUCAUUGUACUUCCUGUGCAUGUCUCCCCAGGCUGCAGGCAUGAGGGAGGAGGAAGGAGAGCCUUCUCAGGGGCAGAGCCAUGUUCUUUCUUCAAUGCUUUAUGAGGGGCUGUGCUUCUCUGGUGGAACUUCCCAUCAAGCUCUCAAUGUCCAUCUGUAGAGAACAUCGUGUAGUUAAGGUUCAAAGUUCCACACCCAACCCACACGAGACAUUGCAUGUAGCUAUAAGUAUCUAAGA